GAUGAACGCUGGCGGCGUGCCUAAUACAUGCAAGUCGAGCGGACGGACGAGAAGCUUGCUUCUCUGAUGUUAGCGGCGGACGGGUGAGUAACACGUGGAUAACCUACCUAUAAGACUGGGAUCAUUUCGGGACACGGGAGCUAAUACCGGAUAAUCUUUUGAACCACAUGGUUCAAAAGUGAAAUACGGUCUUGCUGGCACUACUAGCUGGAUACGCGCUGCAGUGGCUAGUUGGUACGGUAACGGCUUACCAAGGCAAGGAUGCGUAGCCGACCUGAGGGGGUGGUCGGCCACACGGGAGCGGAGACAGGCUCCAGACUCCUGAGGGAGGCAGCAGUAGGGAACCGUCGGCAAAGGGCGGAAGCAUUACGGAGCAAGGCGGCGUGAGUUAUGAAGGCCUCGGGAGCGGAAAAAUCGGUUACGAGGUGAAAACAGAUGUGGAAUUAAAUGUGCACAUCUUGACGGUAACUAAUCAGAAAGCCACGGCUAACUACGUG
RNAcentral lists this ribosomal RNA (497 nucleotides) under uncultured bacterium. RNAcentral's name for it is "partial 16S ribosomal RNA". It matches the Rfam family "Bacterial small subunit ribosomal RNA", at positions 28 to 507 of the family's 1533-position model. The record is from RNAcentral.